UUAGGGAUAAGGGGUGCCACCAUCCGGUGGCCGCAGAGAAUAGGCCCAAGCGACUGUUUACCAAAAACAUAGGCUUCUGCUAAGUCGCAAGACGAUGUAUAGGAGCUGACGCCUGCCCGGUGCUGGACGGUUAAGGGGAUCUGUUAGAGCAAUCGAAGCAGUGAACUUAAGCCCCAGUAAACGGCGGCCGUAACUAUAACG
RNAcentral lists this ribosomal RNA (201 nucleotides) under Clostridioides difficile. Its description in RNAcentral is "partial 23S ribosomal RNA". It matches the Rfam family "Bacterial large subunit ribosomal RNA", at positions 1735 to 1947 of the family's 2925-position model. Lineage: Bacteria; Bacillati; Bacillota; Clostridia; Peptostreptococcales; Peptostreptococcaceae. The record is from RNAcentral.